GACGGAGACUGGCUGGUUGGCUACUGCAUUCAUGAGUAACUUCUCGUCGUUCGUGGGAACGAUCCCGUAGCCGGUUAUGGAGACGGCAUGGUCCGAUUGCUUGGUGGAGUUGCAGGUGGACACAUUCGGGUGGUACGGAUAGUUCGCUUCCGUCGUGAUGCCUCCAUUGGAGACGACGUAUGAGAAUGCAUGGUAAUGCAGACCUCCGCUACAUCCAUUAUCGUUGUCGUCACAGGCGAGCAGUUGUUGCUCCGACAAAGGUAUGAGGCUCCCCUUCGCGAUCUUGUUGAUGCUUUCCAUCGAUGCUACAGCAGAGAAUGCCCAACAAGCUCCUGGAUGUACCAUGCACCGAAACGAGGAAAACCAUAGGCGAUAGGGCCACGACAGGCCCUCAAAUAAUUAAUUGGAUGGGAAUGGAAGAGCUGCAGGAGGACGAGUCCUUACCGCACGUUGUUUGGUCCUUGACAGGGGUCACCGCUCCCUUAUUCCGCCAAUCGAUGCUACUGGGAGCAGUCAUAUUCACGUACCGGAAAGGCUGCAACCCUGGAUAUGAGGCGUCUGAUGGCCUCAUGCGUCCGGUGGCGUAGGUAGAAAGGAAUUCUUCCUUUGUGAGGUCCGCGAAGCGGUUGAGGCCGAUGGUGUAGCUGCGUCCCCCGGCUUGGAGGAAGGCGUUCACGUGCUCCAUGUUCCUGGUGAACACACCAAGGCGAUAUAACUUUUCGGCUUUGUCCUCGUACGCUCGCCCGUGCUGAGCUAUCCACUGCUCGAACAUGUCGACGGGAGUGCUGCCUAAGGUUGUCUGCCAACCCCACCAGCCGUAGACGAGGAAUAACAGCGCUACAAUCUUGAGUGCACAAUCCAUGCUGGUUCAUAUCAGGAGUCUAAUAUAUAUAAAUAUAUUAAUAGAAAUAAAAUAGAAAGAAGAAGAUUGCAUUGAUUGAAACAAUACACAAUACUCCAUAUUUAUACAUGUUUGGAAAGAGGAAUUUUCCUCAACAGAGGAGGAUUUUCCUCAACAAAGGAGGAUUUUCCUCAACAGAUUUAUGAUAUCUAAUUAAGGAGAUCUUGGUUGUUGUUGAGGUUGUUAUCGCGGGAGAUCUUUGACCAUGAAAGUGAUUUGCGGGUGAGAGGCUUCGUGAGAGAGUCCACUAGUUAGUUGAUCAGCCGUAUAUGCAUGAGAAACACGUAGUUAUGUCUGACAACUUAUUCUCAUAUUGAAAUACUGGAUCGAUGCAUAGAUAAGUGGCUCUGACAUUAUUACAAGGAGUAGAGUUGAUGUUAAUGUCAAGUUCCUUGACGAGAUUCAUGACUCAAUUGAGUUCUGCAGUAGCGGUGGUAAUGACACGGUAUUCAGCUUUACUUGUAGAACAUGCAACUGUCUUUUGCUUCUUAGAACUCUAACUUAUUGGAUUAGGUCCAAGGAAGAGAAUAUACCCCGAUGUGAAUGUUUUGUCAUUAAAAUUCCCUGCCCAAUCGGGAGGAAUGUUUGCGAAAAAAGAGGCCAUGAUUGAUAGUCCCGUGAAGAUAUCGUAAUAUUCAUUUGACUGCAGACCAAUGCAUAGUAGAUGGUCGAUGCAUGAAUUGGGAUAAUUUACUGACCGUAAAUGAGAUAUCUAGACGGGUGAGAGAUAAAUACUGUGAGGAGCCAAGGACUUGACGGUAUUGAGUUGGGUCUGUAGCAGGGCUUCCAUCACAUAGUUUGAGCGAUUCGCCAGUAGACAGAGGUGUUGUAACUGUCUUUGCAUCUUGCAUGUUUGUUUUAGAUAAUAGAUCUUGAAUAUACUUUCGUUGUGAUAGGAAGAGCCCGGAAGAUGUGUAUGUUCCUUCCACUCCCAAAAAAUAGCUCAAGGUUCCUAGAUCAUUAAGGGAGAAUCGAUCAGCUAAAUGCUUAAGGAAUGCCUUGAUUUCCAUAGGAUUAUUACUCGUGACAAUAAUAUCAUCCACAUAUACUAGAAGAUAUAAUAUAUUGCCACUUUGGUAACGAAAAAAUAAAGAGAUAUCGGACUUUAGAGUUGAUGAAGCCAAUUGAUGCCAAAAACGAGCCAAGUUCGGUGUAUCAAGCUCUUGGAGCCUGAGAAGUCCAUAAAUAGCUUUUUGUAGUUUACAAACAUGCUUUGGAUAUUGAAGGUGGAUGAAGCCAGGAGGUUGCUACAUGAAGACAUCGUCAGUUAGGGUCCCCUGUAGAAUGGCAUUGAUAACGUCGAGUUGACGUAAAUGCCAACCUUUUGAGAUAACUAAACUCAGAAUAAGUCGGAUUAUUAUAAGUUUAACAAUAGGGCUGAAUGUCUCUGUGAAGUCAACACCAGGUCGUUGAUGAAACCCUUUGGCCACUUGACACGCUUUAUAUCUAGCUACAGAUCCAUCUGGGUUCUGCUUAAUUCGAAAGACCCACUUACACCCGAUGAUAUUUUGUGUGGGAUGAGAGGGUACAAGGGUCCAUGUAGAAUUAUAGAUGAGUGGAUCAUAUUCUUCACACAUAGCUUUACGCUAGUAUGGAGAUUUUUGAGCUUGAGUAAUUGUGGUAGGUUCAAUGGUCUCUGACGAGGAUGUUGUGAUGGUUUAUAGGUCAAGGAUUUGUCGUAGUUUAAAGACACCACUUUUGGAGUGUGUUGUCAUUGGUUGUCCAGGGGCAAUAGAGUGUGUUGUAGGUAUGGGCGGUGGAGGGGCACAGAUUAGGGUAGGUUGAGAGACUUCAAUGUCAUUGGUCCUAGAAAAGGAUAAAGGUAGUGAUAAUGAUUCCGAGGGAAUGCCUUCAAUCAUAGGAGAACCUUAUGAAGAAGGGAGAGGCACAAUGGAGGGGGUGAGGAGUUGUUGCAUCGGGAGAAGGAGAGAGUGUGGAUCUUGAGGAGAAGGAUUAAAUGAUAUUAUGGGAGACUCGAUUGACGGGAUUGAUGACGUACUCCAGUAAUGUAUAUGUGAUGAAGUAGGUCGCAUAGUAGGAGACUCAGGGUUGUGAAACGGAAAGGUAGUCUCUAUAAAAAUAACAUGACGGGACAUAAAGGCUAUUCAAGAUUGGGGUUCAUAGCAUCGAAAGGCAUUAUGGUCAAGAGAGUAUCCAAUGAAAACGCAAGGUUUAGAUUUUGAUGUUAACUUAUGUAAGGCAUAGGGACGAAGCCAUGGAUAAUAUAAACAUCCAAACACUUUGAGUUUUUGAAGGUUUCGGGAUUUGUGAAAUAAUUUUUCAAAUGAUGACUUGUACUCAAGGACAGGAGUGAGCAUAUGAUUAAUGAGAUAGACGACAAUUUGAAAUACUGCAGUCCAAAAAGUUGGUGGUAGAGAGGCUUGGUGUAGGAGUGUGAGACAAGUUUUAACUAUAUGUCGAUGUUUGCGUUCAGUAGAGCCGACAAGUUGAGGAGUGUGUAGAGGUGACUUGAGGUGUUGUAUACCAAUUCAAUUGAUGUAUGAUUCAAUUGAUGUAUGAUUCUAUUUAUAGAAUUGAGAAACAGAGAUGAGGUUUCAGUUGAUAUGGGGUGUACACAAAACGUCAUCUAGCGUAAACGAAGUGCUUUAUGAAUUAAGCAUUGUAGAACCAGUAUGAGUAACGGAGAGUCCGUUACCGUCACCGAUGAUGAUGACUUCGUUUCCACUAUAGUCAUUUUGGAUGGACAAGUUUUGUAAAUCAAAGGUGAUGUGAUGAGAUGCGCUAGAGUCCACAAUCCAAUUUUGAUGAUUAGUGGUCGGAGUAGCUGUAAGAUUUGUUUGAGGCCAAAACGACUGAGGAGGAAGUCUGGGUCGAGUUCUAUAGACUUUUGCAGAGUGGCCAACUUUAUCACAUAGCUGGUAGAUAACUCUUUGUUGAUUUGUGUGAUCAGGACGCCAGGGUUGAGGAUAAUUGAAGUAGCCGCCUUGAUGGUUGUAAUUGAAAUGUUUCGAAGAUUGAGGAGGGGAUGUUUGCUUGGAGCCCACAAGUUUAGGAGGCAUGCUGGCCAAACCUUUGUUAAUAGUUUUGUUGUAUUGGUUGCUCUUCUUCUUAGAUUUUUGACUAACUUGAGCUGUGAUGGAUGGUCUUGGCAACUUAUCCUCACGCUUGAGAUAUAUCUCAUAGUCAGUCAACUUGUCAUAGAGUUUUUCAAAUGACACUGGUGAAUCAUGUGUACAUAUUGCUAUUGCCAAUUCCUUGUACUUGUCUCCUAGGCCGUUGAGGAUAUGAACAGUAACUUCUUCAUCACUGAGGGAAUGACCUAUCAAGGCCAAGUUAUCGAUGAUAAUCCUCAGUAAUAGUACUUCCCUCUUGUUUUAUUGUCAUGAGACUGGACAGGAGAAUAAGCAUAUAAGUGCGAGAACGAUUGGCUAGGGUGGUUUGCAACUUGCAUCAAGCUUCAGCAGUAGUGUCACAUGAAGAAAUGAGUGGAGCGAGGGAUCCAGCGACCGAGGCUUGAAUAGCUUGAAGGAUGAGACAAUCCUGGUGUAACCAUAAUUUAUGGUCCGGAUUUGGUACUGGACUGGGUGUGCCUGGGAUGUUGAGCAUCGCUGGUAGAUAAUGAAGAAAGCCAUCAACAUAGCCUAGAAGAUCAUAGCCAAAUAUUAGAUUAGAGAAUUGAGCACGCCAAGAUGCAUAGUUGUCACCUUUGGAUAAUUUGAAGGGGUGAGGAUUGCUGCAUUUAUGGAGUUAAGGCCUGUAUGUGGGAAAGUAUUGCGGUUCUCUGCAGGAACAGUAAUAGGAGCAUCAGAGAUAGAUGAUGAUGACAUAUGGAGGAUAUGUAUCAAUAAGUGAGAGCAACUAGAAGUCUGCAGCAAUGACAAUGAUCAGGGAGGAAGAGAUAUUGGUGGCAAAUGGGUUGUGGGUUAUGGUGGCAAAUAGGUUGUGGGUUGUUGAUCAAUAUUGACAAUGAUCAAUAUUGUGUAAAGUUACGGAUCUCUAUGCAGCAGUGCUGCAGCCUUUGUGCAGCAGUUCUGUAGUUGGGAACUUGGAAAUGGUUUCAAAUGCUGCUUGUCGAGGUGAAGAAGGUAGAGCAGGGGACAACAACUUGGGAGAAGAGUAGAUCACUACUGCUGCAGUUGCUGUGGCUGCGGCGACAAAGAGGGUUGCUGCGGCUACAGCAGAGAGGGCAUCAAUUCUGCUUCUACAGGAAGAGGCAGAGGAAGGGCGACGGUAAAAAAUGCUGCCGGCGUAGGGAGGAAAAGAAGGCACGGCAUAGUGGCCCUUGUUCGGCUUCGAAGGAGGCCGAUGCAAUGAUCCUAAAUGAUGCCCGUGGAAAAUGCUGCAAUGAUAAGAGCUCUCGCCGUGAAGGCCACUUCUAAACAUCUCGAAGUAGACCCAUCUUCUUACUGGACUCCACCGAAUCUUGGCUCCUCCUACUGCCUCGUGGACUGUGACUCCAUCUCAGUCGCUCCCCCCUCUAUCGCUGCUUUCGCCGUGACCGCACCGCACCCGGCGUCGCCAUCAGAUGUGGCAAUUUUCCUUGGUGAAAGGCGAUAGCAACAGCGACAUCUUCCUUCAUCGAGCUCUGAUACCAUGAUAGAAAUAAAAUAGAAAGAAGAAGAUUGCAUUGAUUGAAACAAUACACAAUACUCCAUAUUUAUACAUGUUUGGAAGGAAGAAUUUUCCUCAAGAUAUCUUUGAUUGUUAUUAUAUAUAUAUAUAUAUAUAUAUAUAUAUAUAUAUAUAUAUAUAUAUAUAUAUAUAUAUAUAUAUAUAUAUAUAUAUAUAUAUAAUAAUAUAAUANNNNNNNNNNNNNNNNNNNNUAUAUAUAUAUAUAUAUAUAUAUAUAUAUAUAUGUGUGUAACAAGCGAUAUAAAGUGAUAAAUGUCAAAAUAUAAUAAGCAAAAAGACUACGUGUCAAGUCACACGUGUUAUCACUCACGUGAUUGACUUGUAGGGCACAUAUGACUAGCAUUGGGCAUAUUUGGCUCUACACCUCUAUCGUGAUAGAUUACCUUAGUGCGAGUUAGGUUUCUUGACUCACAUGCCUUGGACACAUUUAGCCCUAUGCUUCCAUCAUCAUAGAUUUACCUUGGUGUGGGUCGGGUUUUUCGACUCUUAUGCCUUGGACACAUUUGACCCUAUGCUUCCAUCAUGAUAGAUUUACCUUGGCGUGGGUCGGGUUUUCCGUCUCACAUGCCUUAUGCAUAUUUGAACUCAUGCUUCCACUAUGGUGGAUUUACUUUUGUGCGGGUCGGGUUUCUCGACUCACACACCUUAAGUAUAUUUGGCCUUACACCUCUGUUAUAGUGAAUAUACCUUAGUGGGGGUUGGAUUUCUCGACUCACACGCCUCAAGCACAUUUGGCUCGAUGCCUUUACCGUGGUUGAUUUACCUUGGCAUAGGUUGGGUUUUUCAACUCACACCUAAGGCACAUCUGACCCUGACCCUCCAACGUGGUAGAUAUACCUUGGCAUGGGUCGAGUUUUCUGACUUACAUGCCUCAGGCAUAUUGUACAUCCGUCGUGAUAUAUUUAUCUUAAUGUGGUUCGGGUUUCUCGACUCACAUGCCUCAGGUAUAUUUGGCUCUAUGCCUCUAUCGUGGUUAGCUUUAAAUUCUUUUUCUGCUAUGAUAGGUUUCAAGUCCUUUGUCUAUUGUAGCAGAUUUCGAAUCUCCCUGCCGUGGUGGAUUUCGAGUUCUCACUCUGCCAUGUUGAAUUUUAAGUCAUAUCUCCUUCAUGACAAGUGACGCUAAGGAUGUCCUAUGUAAGUACUCCACUUUUUGAUACCGGACUAAUAGAUUUGAAAGUUUCAAAUCUAGUACAACCAGUUAUUGGAGUGAUAGCUAACUUUAUAAGAGCUAUUGAGUGUCGAUAGAUAAUCAUUCGCUCUCAGUAUCACGAAAGAAAUAUCCUAUGUUCUUGCUCAAACAAAUCCUUAAUAUGCUCUCACUAUUCAUGAGAGGAAUAAUCAAGAUAUAGACUUCUAUCUUGACAUGCUCUCACUAUUUUUCUAGUGAGUCAUGCGAUACCCUCAAUAUGUGAAACGAAAGUCUCCAAUAGACUUUUAGUGGGUAACAAGAUCUAAUCAGCAUCUUAGUAUAACCUUGAGGGACUUGACUAAUCACACUAAGCUCAAAAGAUAGGCAACUCUUGCCGAUCACAACUUCUUAUGAUUCCCAUCCUGUUUGGCCUUCGAACCACCAUGGCCUCGAGGGACUUGACCAAGUAUACUAUAUCUUCAGGUCACUAGUGAUAUCUCUAUGUUGUAGGUAAAAUAGCGAAUUACAAUAUAGGUAAGUCUCGAGAGACUCGACCAACACAACCUACAUCGGAAAUCGGUUCCUACCUAUAACGAUGGAAGGCCACGUGGGUCAAUCUAAUUGUCUCACGUUUACCAACUUAAUAUUAUCGAGAGAGGAAAUUUUGAUUCAGUCUCCUAUAACAUGUCAAUCACAUACAUAUUUAAUAUAUAUCUACAUCGCAUGUUUGCAACGAUGCAUCUCCAUGCCCCAUGAUCAUCUAUCUCGUCCUUAUAGGUUCCGUCGAUAUCUCGAUGCAUCUCGAUGAGUUGCAAUCGUCCGUCUCUAUCUCGUGAGUCUCGCUAUCGCUUCCGCGCUCUCACUGUAUCUCCUUGUGUAAUUAUAAUAUAAUCGCAGGCACACAAGCUGAACAAUGAAUGAGAAAUAAAUUGGAGGCUCAUAGGCCCCAAUAAUAAUAAUCAUAUCAUAAGUAUACACACAUCACAUGGUGCAUGAUUAUCCGUCCAAAUCAUACAUCACAUAUACAUAUCACCAUGUAGGACUACUAGAUAAUAAUAAUAGUUAAUUAAUUUAUUUAAUUAACUAAUAUAAUUUUUUUUUUCUAAAUUAGGCAUAUGCAAGGAAUUUUCUGAAUUAUGAGGGGUAUUUUGAUAAUUUGGACAAAAAAGAUAGACCUCAAAAUUUUUAAAAUUUUGAGGGGUAAAACUAUUAUUUUUUAAAAACCCUAAACCUCUUCCUUGUGCUUGUUGCCUUGCGAUUGUUGUCACCCCUUGCGGGUGCCGCUAUGGGUGCCAUUUGCUCUUAUGAGCAAGCCGCCCGUAGGCAUCGCCUAUGUGGUUGCUUGCAUGCGGUCUGCAGGCUGUCGACUACCGUAGAUGGCCAAGGCUACGAGCAGCCUUUGGCUAUUCUGCGAGCGCAAUAAGGGCAAUAACAAUUGCUACCUUUUCUCCCUUUUGCGUCAAUAGUUUUGACGAUAAAAAGCUUUUUCAAAAAUAUACACAGUUCAAAAUCAAUCUUUCACAUGAACAACCUAACUUUGGUACUACUAUAGAGAAAUCUAAGGGCGACAUCACAUGUGCAGUGGAAGAACAUAAAACAAAAAAUUCUAAUUUUCCAAAAGGUGUUCAUCGUCAUGCGAAAUUGGAAAUCACGUGUGAGAUAGUUAUGUUACCUAAGGAAAUCGUAUAUCCCUAAAAUCUUACAAAUCUGUGGGAGAGGAUGAAGGAGGUCAAACGUCCUCCUCUCUAGUGGUGAUCCACACGACAAGGCUAUGAAUAAACUACUAGUCAUAGGUGCCCUACAAGCCAAUCAUAUUAGUGAUGAUAUAUGUGAUACGAUACAUAAUUUUUUUGUUUAUUAUUAUUAUGACAUUUUCUCACUUGAUGCAUAAAUAGAUCUACUACUAGUUUCCUCCUCAUAACUAGAUUUGCUAUAGUAAAGCUUAGAGACUAUGUUCUUUGGAGAGAAUCUUCAUGUCUUCCAUUUCUUUUGUACUGUUGAUGAAGUUAACUCUUCUUUUUAUCUUUCAUCUUAUUUUUUUAUAAUAGAAAAAAAAAUAUUUUUUAAAAUAAUCUAUUCAUUUAAAGUGGUCAAGAAUAAUUAUCUAUCAAUGAGGGGAUGUCACUCCCUUAUUAAUUUAUUUAUAAUUUUAUAAUGUUUAAAUUAAUUUUAUAAAUUUUUUUAUCAAUAUAUUAAUAUUAUUUAAUUUUAUUAACAAUUACUUAUUUUGGACUGGUUUAAUAUUGAGUUAAACCGAUCCAAUGUCUUGGUUCAUUUGCAUUCAAUUUAAAAGUUUAAAAGGGAGAAAAAAGAAGGAAAAAAAAUUUGAUGACACUUUCGUAAAUGUAUAAAGUAGGUGCAUCGUUAAAAAAAAAAAACAACAGUCAGAGAGCAUUAUUGAUAUCUCUAAAGAAGUUGCCCUUUAUAAUAUUAUCAUUCAAGAUUUUGAGGAUUUAAAUUUUGUUGUUCGUGCGUGAUUCUUAUAAUUAAACUUAUGCCGUUGAUUUAAAUGAUGAUUGUUCAUGCACAAUUUUUAUUAUCUAAUCUAUGCUGUUCCUGCAUGAUUUUUAGGAGAAGAGUUUAUGAUAUAAAUUUGGGUUGAUGAUAUCUUAAGUUUUGAGUUUGUAAUACACAAUCAAUUAAAAAAUUCAAUUAUUUUUAACAUGAGUUUAUAUUUAAAUCUUAUAUGCACGCCUUCAGUUUUUUUUUAAAGUUAAUCUUUCUAUUUGAAAAAAAGGCUUGAGAUUGAAAUUAAAAUUAGGGAUUCAGGUCCGACCCGAGUCAGACCGGUCCCGGAAACAGGUCAGACCAAGCCGACCCAGGCGGGCUUGAGGUUGUCCAAGGCCCGCGACCAAACGGCUCGACUCAACCGGCUGGCGUGGUUACGCCUCGGCCCCACCCUGGUGUCAUGCGUGACGCCAUCUAUGAUAGACCGAACGAACUGUGAAGUGCGCCGAUAAAUCUCUUCUUUAUUUUCUUAAAAAUAGCUUUCACAGCAAAUACAAAUUUGGGAGAAAGACAUAUGAAAAGAUGGUGCAUUUGCGAAGAUGGAAAGCUUGAGCUGCCAAUUUAGGCCUUACUUAGAUGAUGGGAUAAGAAGCGCGGAUGGCAAGACCACACAGUCCUUCCUUUUGAGCAACGUCCUUCUUGAGCAGAAUGUAGCCGUGAUCACCCCACGACGUGCCCCAUGAAUUCUUAGCUAUCCAAUACGCAGUCCCAUUCUCAUCUGUUCCGUAGCCCACGAGAGUGACUUCAUGAUUCAGGUACGUAUCACAAGGCCCGUCGAAGAUGCCACCUGCGUAGAACUGGAACUCGCCGGCAUCGAUGGAGACGGAGACUGGUUGGUUGGCCACUGCAUUCAUGAGUAACUUCUCGUCGUUCGUGGGAACGAUCCCGUAGCCGGUUAUGGAGACGGCAUGGUCCGAUUGCUUGGUGGAGUUGCAGGUGGACUCAUUCGGUUGGUACGGAUAGUUCGCUUCCGUCGUGAUGCCUCCAUUGGAGACGACGUAUGAGAAUGCUCGGUAAUGCAGACCUCCGCCACAUCCAUCAUCGUUGUCGUCACAGGCGAGCAGUUGUUGCUCCGACAAAGGUAUGAGGCUCCCCUUCGCGAUCAUGUUGAUGCUUUCCAUCGAUGCUACAGCAGAGAAUGCCC
This 10275-nucleotide long non-coding RNA is filed under the name Musa acuminata (dwarf banana). RNAcentral's name for it is "long non-coding RNA (MACU_LNC003167)". The record is from RNAcentral. Lineage: Eukaryota; Viridiplantae; Streptophyta; Magnoliopsida; Zingiberales; Musaceae.